Small nuclear RNA from Eublepharis macularius, 185 nucleotides. RefSeq annotates it as U2 spliceosomal RNA. The transcript has a single exon. NCBI's taxonomy places the organism in Eukaryota, Metazoa, Chordata, Lepidosauria, Squamata, Eublepharidae. The record is from RefSeq and is a predicted model, not a curated record.
AUCGCUUCUCGGCCUUUUGGCUAAGAUCAAGUGUAGUAUCUCAACUGUCCCUAUAUUGUGGAAUGGAACCACAUGCUUUAAACAGUAUGCUUUUGUCUACUAAGCAAUGAUAUUAAGGAUGGGAUUUGAGUGUAUACUUCCACUACUGUUUGCCCUCCUUUACUGGCAAUUUUACAGUGCAAUCU